AUUGAACGCUGGCGGCAAGCCUAACACAUGCAAGUCGAACGAGUGGCGGACGGGUGAGUAAUGUCUGGGAAACUGGCUGAUGGAGGGGGAUAACUACUGGAAACGGUAGCUAAUACCGCAUACCAUCGGAUGUGCCCAAGUGGGAUUAGGUAGUAGGUGGGGUAAAGGCUCACCAAGGCGACGAUCCCUAGCUGGUCUGAGAGGAUGACCAGCCACACUGGGACUGAGACACGGCCCAGACUCCUACGGGAGGCAGCAGUGGGGAAUAUUGCGCAAUGGGCGCAAGCCUGACGCAGCCAUGCCGCGUGAAUGAAGAAGGCCUUCGGGUUGUAAAGUUCUUUCGGUAGGGAGGCGUUACCUACAGAAGAAGCACCGGCUAACUCCGUGCCAGCAGCCGCGGUAAUAC
Molecule: ribosomal RNA, 406 nt
Filed under: uncultured bacterium
Lineage: Bacteria
Description: partial 16S ribosomal RNA
Rfam family: Bacterial small subunit ribosomal RNA
Source: RNAcentral